Molecule: long non-coding RNA, 931 nt
Organism: Ictalurus punctatus (channel catfish)
Lineage: Eukaryota; Metazoa; Chordata; Actinopteri; Siluriformes; Ictaluridae
Source: Ensembl
UCUAAUAAGGAUGCUGUUAUACGGACUCCAAUCUCUAUGAUGACCACCCAUGUCUUUGUCAACUUCAUGCUAAAAGUGCCCAACGCCCGUGGUGGUGGCAGUGCAUGGCGUGUGUGUGGAAGCAGGAGUGGAUCUAAUCACAGCCUGUGAUAUUCGUCUGUGCACACAGGAUGCCUGGUUUCAGGUGAAGUCGUGUGUUCCCUGAUAGUCCAUGAUUGCUGGAGCUCUGGAAAUAGCAGGUGAGAUUGCAGGCCGGAGUCGCGUCGCUGUCCAAGGAACCAAAAUCAACCUCCUCUGCUCCUGAGACCACAGUGUGACUGAGAGCCUAGACUACAUGGCUACUUGGAACAUGAACAUGUUGCAGACACAGGAUCUUAUGAAGUCAGCGCAGGCAGCCCUGGAAAAGAAGAGUCCGAAAGACGUGCCCUUCUCCAAGCUUUAAAGGAGAAGAUCCAGGGCUGUUGAAGCUGCGGUGGAACUGAGACAUCAUCAUCCACAUAUCUUUAGUUCUUCUUGCUAAGUCUGUUUCUUUUUAGUCUUUUUAUUUUUAGACUGGUCAAAAGACUGAUUAGUGGAAGUGAAAUGAUAGAUGAACUUUUAUUUACUUGCUUUAUUAUUUGCAGGUGCCUUGUACAGUAAGACAGGGUAACUAAUACUCAAAAGCUUUUUUUGUGUGUUAACAUGUACAGUAGAUGGACAUAUUUUUUCUGGUGCUGUGACUGCAGAAUGUAGUGCAGUUAACACAUAAAAUUUCCUUGGAUGCUCACUUUUAACUCGAGGAGGUCACAGUUUGCCCAGACAUCUUUUUUUAAAUCCGUCAAUCCGUCACCCACACGUCAUUCUGGGGGACGAAGAGGAGGAAGCUGGACAGAUAAAUUUAUUUAUUUAUUUAUCAUUGCUGUGUUUCCUUAAUCGAGUGCAGAAAGAAGAA